This 951-nucleotide long non-coding RNA is filed under the name Mytilus galloprovincialis (Mediterranean mussel). The record is from RNAcentral. Lineage: Eukaryota; Metazoa; Mollusca; Bivalvia; Mytilida; Mytilidae.
GCGGAGUUCGAUUUUUUAAGUUUUUUAUGGACUACCCCAUUUUUGUUUUAACCGAGAGUUCUUUUUUUUCUUCUUCAAUAUAUAUUUUUAUAAAUUUCCUGUUACAAAACUUUAAAUAUUUCGAAAAACUAAGGAUUUUCUUAUCCCAGGAAUAGAUUACCUUAGCUGUAUUUAGCACAACUUUUUGGAAUUUUGAAUCUUCAGUGCUAGUCAACUUUAUACUUGUUUGGCUUUACAACUAUUUUGCUCUGAGAGUCACUGAUGAGUCUUAUUCAGAUGAAACGCGCGUCUGGCGCAUAGAAUUAUAAUCCUGGUACCUUUGAUAACUAUUUAUAUACUUUAUUAUUCAGCAUAUGUAUUACUGUCCUGAGUGGUUUGUUUGUUUGUUUUUUUUUUUUGUACUGUAUUCCAGUCAUGUGAAUAAAUGUUGUCAUUUAGUGGUAUAUUUAAUAUUGUCAUAAAGCGCGAGGUUGACUAGCCACAAAAUCAGGUCCAACUGUAUUUUUUUUUCUUAUAAUGUCCUGUACCAAGUCAGGAAUAUGGCAGUUGUUAUCUAAUAGUUCGUUUCUAUGUAUGUUGCAUUGUCGUUUGUAUUUAUUACACUUCAGUGUUUCUGUUGUGUCCUCUUUUUUAGGUUGUAACCCGGAUUUGUUGAAGUUACAAAUAACCUCGGAAAAAACCCGUCAUGAAAAAAAUAUUUACACCCAACUUUAGUAGUUGCCACAAUAAUUUAAGAGAUAAGUACGUGUCGUUGUUUCUUCUAGGAAUGCGCCUAGUUUAUUGUUCAGAAUAUUGAUGCAUUUGUCGAGUAAAAUUCCAUGUGGUUUCAAAUUUAGAUUUUAUAUUCCAUGUCUACUAGGCUAGCUGAAUUAAAAUCAUAUUCUCUAAAUUCAUAUUAUAGUGAACCAAAUGAAAUCAAGCAUCAAAAUUCUCCAUCAAGGUGUUUAAUUA